UACGAAGGGGGCUAGCGUUGCUCGGAAUUACUGGGCGUAAAGGGUGCGUAGGCGGGUCUUUAAGUCAGGGGUGAAAUCCUGGAGCUCAACUCCAGAACUGCCUUUGAUACUGAAGAUCUUGAGUUCGGGAGAGGUGAGUGGAACUGCGAGUGUAGAGGUAAAAUUCGUAGAUAUUCGCAAGAACACCAGUGGCGAAGGCGGCUCACUGGCCCGGAACUGACGCUGAGGUGCGAAAGCGUGGGGAGCAAACAGG
RNAcentral lists this ribosomal RNA (253 nucleotides) under uncultured bacterium. Its description in RNAcentral is "partial 16S ribosomal RNA". It matches the Rfam family "Bacterial small subunit ribosomal RNA", at positions 524 to 776 of the family's 1533-position model. The record is from RNAcentral.